GCAAUGGUAGCUGUGUGGCAGUGUUCUUGCCUGUCAUGUAGGAGAUCUGAGUUCAAAUCUCAGUCUUGGUG
Molecule: transfer RNA, 71 nt
Filed under: Alligator mississippiensis (American alligator)
Lineage: Eukaryota; Metazoa; Chordata; Crocodylia; Alligatoridae
Rfam family: tRNA
About the family: Transfer RNA (tRNA) molecules are approximately 80 nucleotides in length. Their secondary structure includes four short double-helical elements and three loops (D, anti-codon, and T loops).
Source: Rfam by way of RNAcentral